UCAAUCAACUUUGUGGGAUAAGAUGAGCCAAAGGUUGUUGAAAUCGUGUACAAAUUUUUUGUAUAUAAGUGUGAAAGAUCAAUCAAAAGAAAUAUACUAUUCUCUUCCUCUCGUCUCUUCUCUUUCUCUCUAUUUCCCUUUUCUCUGCGCCCAACUCGUUUCUCUCUCCUUGAUCAUUCAGCGCUCGUCUCGUCUCUUUCUUUUUCACAUGGUAUCAGAGUCACUCAUCGUCGAUGUAAGGCAAGGCAUGAUGGGCUCAUCGUGCUUCAGUUUGCUGGUUCAGUCUAGCUGCGCCGGACCUUCCAACACCAAGAUCUUCUCUGCUGUCUUCAUUGUUCGACAGUAAUGACUUGCACUAGCGUCUUCUGUUCUAUUUUCUGUGAUUGAAGAGUCCCGACCGUUUUCAGCCUAAUCAAAGGUUUGAGGGAUUUUCUGCGAGCAGCAAUUCCUCCUCAGCACAACCGGUUGCUGCAAAGUCACCAGAAAAUCUGAACGAGGCACAGCCUCGAAGCAUCCCGAUUUCGCACAACAAAUUGGGGCAAAAACCCUCUCUGGUGAUACGUUAAACCAUGCUCUUAUUGUCUACUUCUGAUUUGGUUUUCUCUUAAUCCAAUCUGCUCCCAUUUGGAGAUCGAUUUGGGCGAGGAGGAAGAACUCUGUUCUUCAAGGAGCCCCCAGCGGCGGCCAAAGAUCCUUCACGCGUUCUUGCUGGGGAGCUCAUUUCGAGGCGAGCUGUUGGGUGUCCAAUCCUGAUGGUGUUCUCCUGAGCGAUUUUGGUGAUUUUUGGAGCUUCCCAUGAUUUUACACAAUUCUGCCACCGGAGCACUAUCCUGUUGUAGCUGGAACCAGACCUGAAGGGGAUCCUUGCUCACGUCCCUUUCUGUAACACAAAAUGGCUGAACUGAUUGGAGAGGAGAUGGAGCUGGUUGACAGUAGGAGCUGCUGCGCCUGUAGCAGAUUUGGUAGCUGGUUGAAGAGGUGUUCACCGACACCAAUCCGGCGAUUGCUCUCCCUAAUUCAACACAGAAAUAGGGGUCCAAUUGAAAUUCGGUGAAGUGUAGAACCUUGCUGAUUUCCCUCACUUCCUGUUUUUAUAAAGAUUAUGAUCUCGUGUUCUGUUAUGAGCUGAGGUGCGACCAAGGAGAGGACUCAGUUGGAAGCUCGUGGCAGCGACUGUUCAUGAGGGAGGAAGCUGUCCAGGUGUGCUGAAUACCGAGGGAUUUCCUUCCUCCUCGGUGGUGUGCAAACACGACUGCUUAAGUUUGUGACUCGGUGAAGGGUUGAGAGAACCUGUUGUCGAGCUAAAUCUGUUUCAUAUCUGACGAAAGUGAAGAGAGUGCUGAAGGCCAGGCGUAAGCCUAUUUCAGUUGCUGCAGGCCAUGUGCAACCGAGGAGGAGUCGUUCCUCUCUUUGUUUCAAGUUUUUUUUUUUUGGCGCUUCUUUUUCUUCGCUUGGCAGCAACUCUUGCUCGACCAGGGAUGUAAUCAGAACUGAUCGGUGUCACGCACCGUUGUAACUCGAGUGAGGGCACACAAGGUGGUGGUUCAAACAUGAAUUUUCGGCCACCAUAAUUUGCAGCGACCAUUCAUAAUCAAAGGCCGGUGGAUCUCCAACCAAGCGAUGGUACUAGUUUUUCUGGCAAUCACAGUCAUAAUCGUAAAGUUGUACCUUCAUGCACUAUGGAUGAGUAUCAUAAACUCUUACCACUUGUUAAAACUCUGUCUGUCUCUAUCAAUUUCACAGGACCUGGCGUUGAGGACGACGAUUGGUCAGGGUAAAGAAAGAGAAGACAUAUAUGAACUCGAUCUAGUGAUUUCAUCCACAAGCUGCUUUAUUGUGUCCUCUUCCCAAGAUCUCUGGCAUAUGUGGUUCGGUCAUCUUUCUUUUUCUCGUCUUAAACUUGUUGAUUCUUAUAUAGGUUUGAAUUGUGAUUUGAAUUGUGAUUUGAAUAAACAAAUUUGUUGUGA
Molecule: long non-coding RNA, 1967 nt
Organism: Nymphaea colorata (pocket water lily)
Lineage: Eukaryota; Viridiplantae; Streptophyta; Magnoliopsida; Nymphaeales; Nymphaeaceae
Exons: 2
Source: RefSeq, a predicted model, not a curated record